AUAGUCAAGAAGAAAAAGAAGAAGAAGGCUCCUGUGACUAAAUCUGUGGGGAAGGCAAUUGAAGCGCCUUCUAUAAAACAAUCUACAGAUGAGCCAGUGAAAUCUGGGCAAAGCCCACAAAUAAUUGCAAUUCCUGAAGAGAAAAUAGUCAAGAAGAAAAAGAAGAAGACGACUCCUGUGACUAAAUCUGUGGGGAAGGCAAUUGAAGUGCCUUCCAUAAAACAAGCUACAGAUGAGCCAGUGAAAUCUGCGCAAAGCCCACAAAUACUAGCAAUUCCUAAAGGG
Long non-coding RNA from Xenopus tropicalis (tropical clawed frog), 285 nucleotides. RefSeq lists it as uncharacterized. The transcript is spliced from 2 exons. NCBI's taxonomy places the organism in Eukaryota, Metazoa, Chordata, Amphibia, Anura, Pipidae. The record is from RefSeq and is a predicted model, not a curated record.